Molecule: ribosomal RNA, 314 nt
Filed under: Ehrlichia canis
Lineage: Bacteria; Pseudomonadati; Pseudomonadota; Alphaproteobacteria; Rickettsiales; Anaplasmataceae
Description: bacterial SSU rRNA
Rfam family: Bacterial small subunit ribosomal RNA
Source: RNAcentral
UAGCCUCUGGCUAUAGGAAAUUGUUAGUGGCAGACGGGUGAGUAAUGCGUAGGAAUCUACCUAGUAGUACGGAAUAGCCAUUAGAAAUGGUGGGUAAUACUGUAUAAUCCCCGAGGGGGAAAGAUUUAUCGCUAUUAGAUGAGCCUACGUUAGAUUAGCUAGUUGGUGAGGUAAUGGCUUACCAAGGCUAUGAUCUAUAGCUGGUCUGAGAGGACGAUCAGCCACACUGGAACUGAGAUACGGUCCAGACUCCUACGGGAGGCAGCAGUGGGGAAUAUUGGACAAUGGGCGAAAGCCUGAUCCAGCUAUGCCGC